RNAcentral lists this ribosomal RNA (311 nucleotides) under uncultured bacterium. Its description in RNAcentral is "bacterial SSU rRNA". It matches the Rfam family "Bacterial small subunit ribosomal RNA", at positions 28 to 334 of the family's 1533-position model. The record is from RNAcentral.
GAUGAACGCUAGCGGCAGGCCUAACACAUGCAAGUCGAACGGUAACAUGAAGUGCUUGCACUUUGAUGACGAGUGGCGCACGGGUGCGUAACGCGUAUACAAUCUACCUUUUACAGAGGGAUAGCCCAGAGAAAUUUGGAUUAAUACCUCAUAGUAUGUUAAAGUGGCAUCACUUAAACAUUAAAACUCCGGUGGUAAGAGAUGAGUAUGCGUUCUAUUAGCUAGUAGGUAGGGUAAUGGCUUACCUAGGCAACGAUAGAUAGGGGCCCUGAGAGGGGGAUCCCCCACACUGGUACUGAGACACGGACCAG